UGGGGAAUUUUGCACAAUGGGGGAAACCCUGAUGCAGCGACGCCGCGUGAUUUAGAAGGCCUUCGGGUUGUAAAAAUCUUUUCUAUGGGAAGAAAAUGACAGUACCAUAGGAAUAAGGACCGGCUAAUUACGUGCCAGCAGCCGCGGUAAUACGUAAGGUCCGAGCGUUGUCCGGAAUCAUUGGGCGUAAAGGGUACGUAGGCGGGUAAGCAAGUUAGAAGGGAAAUCCUAUAGCUCAACUAUAGUAAGCUUUUAAAACUGCUCAUCUUGAGGUAUGGAAGGGAAAGUGGAAUUCCUAGUGUAGCGGUGAAAUGCGCAGAUAUUAGGAGGAAUACCGGUGGCGAAGGCGACUUUCUGGCCAUAACCUGACGCUGAGGUACGAAAGCGUGGGUAGCAAACAGG
RNAcentral lists this ribosomal RNA (402 nucleotides) under bacterium. RNAcentral's name for it is "partial 16S ribosomal RNA". It matches the Rfam family "Bacterial small subunit ribosomal RNA", at positions 355 to 776 of the family's 1533-position model. The record is from RNAcentral.